Molecule: unclassified non-coding RNA, 200 nt
Filed under: Orbiliomycetes sp.
Lineage: Eukaryota; Fungi; Ascomycota; Orbiliomycetes
Description: partial internal transcribed spacer 2
Source: RNAcentral
UUAAGUUCAGCGGGUAUCCUUAUCUGAUUUGAGGUCAAACUUCAGUCCACAAAAGGGACAUCGGGUUUAACGCCACUCCCCAACACUAGAUUAUGAAAAAAUGUAAACACCAACUUCAUAAAACCUAGCAAUAGCUUACGGUCGUACAGCAAGUUUAAAGUGGAGGCGAGCUAUAAGCUCGGGCCUCACGCCCAAUACCA